GAUGAACGCUAGCGGCAGGCUUAAUACAUGCAAGUCAAGGGGGUAGCAAUACAACCGGCGCACGGGUGAGUAACGCGUACACAACAUACCAUAUACUGGGGUAUAGCUUCGGGAAACUGGAGAUAAUCCCCCAUAACAUUGCGAGAGGGCAUCUGAUUGCAAUUAAAGUUUCGACGGUAUAUGAUUGGUGUGCGUUUGAUUAGCUUGUUGGUAGGGUAACGGCCUACCAAGGCGACGAUCAAUAGCUGGCGUGAGAGCGCGACCAGCCACACUGGAACUGAGACACGGUCCAGACUCCUACGGGAGGCAGCAGUAGGGAAUAUUGGACAAUGGGCGAAAGCCUGAUCCAGCCAUGCCGCGUGAUAGAUGAAGGCCCUCUGGGUUGUAAAUAUCUUUUAUCUGGGAAGAAACUCCUCUAUUCUUAGAGGCCUGACGGUACCAGAGGAAUAAGCACCGGCUAACUCCGUGCCAGCAGCCGCGGUAAAGUAU
RNAcentral lists this ribosomal RNA (489 nucleotides) under uncultured bacterium. Its description in RNAcentral is "bacterial SSU rRNA". It matches the Rfam family "Bacterial small subunit ribosomal RNA", at positions 28 to 526 of the family's 1533-position model. The record is from RNAcentral.